UUCCUUUACACAGCAGGAGAGUUGAGCCCGGUGCUGGUGUUGUCCCACCCCAAAGCUCAACACUAGACCAACUUAUAACCUAUUAUUAUUUGUGGAAAC
This is a long non-coding RNA of Etheostoma spectabile (orangethroat darter), 99 nucleotides long. RefSeq lists it as uncharacterized. The record is from RefSeq and is a predicted model, not a curated record. The transcript has 3 exons. Lineage: Eukaryota; Metazoa; Chordata; Actinopteri; Perciformes; Percidae.